GUACACUCCUACGGGAGGCAGCAGUGGGGAAUAUUGGACAAUGGGCGCAAGCCUGAUCCAGCCAUGCCGCGUGAGUGAUGAAGGCCCUAGGGUUGUAAAGCUCUUUCACCGGUGAAGAUAAUGACGGUAACCGGAGAAGAAGCCCCGGCUAACUUCGUGCCAGCAGCCGCGGUAAUACGAAGGGGGCUAGCGUUGUUCGGAUUUACUGGGCGUAAAGCGCACGUAGGCGGACUAUUAAGUCAGGGGUGAAAUCCCGGGGCUCAACCCCGGAACUGCCUUUGAUACUGGUAGUCUUGAGUUCGAGAGAGGUGAGUGGAAUUCCGAGUGUAGAGGUGAAAUUCGUAGAUAUUCGGAGGAACACCAGUGGCGAAGGCGGCUCACUGGCUCGAUACUGACGCUGAGGUGCGAAAGCGUGGGGAGCAAACAGGAUUAGAAACCCCGGUUCCCAUG
This 450-nucleotide ribosomal RNA is filed under the name uncultured organism. RNAcentral's name for it is "partial 16S ribosomal RNA". It matches the Rfam family "Bacterial small subunit ribosomal RNA", at positions 331 to 799 of the family's 1533-position model. The record is from RNAcentral.